This is a long non-coding RNA of Panicum virgatum (switchgrass), 695 nucleotides long. RefSeq lists it as uncharacterized. The transcript is spliced from 2 exons. Lineage: Eukaryota; Viridiplantae; Streptophyta; Magnoliopsida; Poales; Poaceae. The record is from RefSeq and is a predicted model, not a curated record.
ACUACAAGAGAAGCAUUGCAUCAUCAAUUGACCAGAGGAUCGCAGGCAAGAAAUUCGUACAUGUCCUAUUGAAUAAUUUUGAAUUGCAACAAAAUUUCUGGAAUUUCCCCUUGCAGUUUUCUUUUCAAAUCUACCGGGCUAACAUUUUGAAACUAAAAAUUUAUCUGAGAUUUUCGGGUGAAAAAGAAAUCUAGUAAGUCCUUGUUAUCUCUACUUAGUAACUGGGUUCCCUGUAAAUGGAGCCCUUGUGGACAAAAUGGUAAAUCUAGUUGCUGAACUGCACAUAACUUUCUCCCUUGCGUGAGGAUGCAACGGGUUAAUGCUGCGUAUUGUGACUGAAGACACCAAGUGGCCGGGACAUCAGCUGCAGGUGUGAGGGGCACAACUCACAGGUCAUAUCGUUGAGUGCAGCUGCCUUUUCUGUUCAUCGUGGCAAUGAAGAGUGUGUUCAGUACCUGCCAUGUUACUAAGGGAAUAACAACUGCAGUAUAAGCGCUGUAUGAACAGUGUGUCUACGGCUUUCAUUGAGCUAGGAGAAAACGUUAUUUCCCAAACUGUAAUUCUUCUCCUAGUUCUACCGAGCGUAUUGCUAACAUGUGUAUUGCUGCUCGAUCUUACAUGUUGGGUGCUCCAGAUGCUGGUGUAGUCUUGAGCCUGGAGGCUGGAUUCGAAUUGGGAAAGAUAUGCUUGGCUUG